RNAcentral lists this unclassified non-coding RNA (345 nucleotides) under uncultured fungus. RNAcentral describes it as "partial contains 5.8S ribosomal RNA, internal transcribed spacer 2, and large subunit ribosomal RNA". The record is from RNAcentral. Lineage: Eukaryota; Fungi.
AACGCAUAUUGCGCUCGAGCCUUCGGGCAAGAGCAUGUCUGCCUCAGCGUCGGUUUACCCCCUCACACCCCUACCAUUUCUUAUGAUAGUGUCGAGCCAAUCGACUGGCUUGCGGGUGUGGACUUGGCCUCCCCAAUCAGCUAUCGAUUUAGCCGAUUGGGUUGGCUGAAGUGCAGAGGCUUGAGCAAGGACCCAUCAAUGGGCAUCGACUGGAUAGGUAGUGCCGCUUGAUUAUCUCAAUUAGGCGUCUACACGAAGUUGUUGCUCGUGGACCUUGCUGGAGGCCAGCAGGAAAACCUUCGAACAUUCGACCUGAGCUCAGGCAAGAACACCCGCUGAACUUAA